CCUAGAUGAGGGCAAGGUUCUUGGCAGUCUGGCCAAGUACACUUUCAAGCAAGGGCUUUGGGAUGGAGAUGCAAUAUGGCAGUCGUGCCAACCUAUCUCAGCAGCCAUCUGGUGGAAGGGACUUUGGAUCUGAGGCUCUUUCCCCUGUUGCCUCCAUCAUCCUCCAAAUCCCACCAACAUCAGCCGCCUCAGAGUGCAACUGGUCCUUGUUUGGGAACACACACACCAAAGCACGCAACAGGCUGACCAAUACAAGGGUUGAAAAAUCGGUGGCCAUCCAGGCAAAUUUGAGACUUUUUGAGCCUGACCGAGCCAUCCUCAACAAGGUUGGAAAGUGACAAUGAAGAUGAGGCCUCAGUCUGAUGUCUUUGCCAGAAGACCUGAGCCCUAGGACCAUGCCUCAGGACUACCUGGCCUGAUGACUCCUUGCUGUCCCCAGUCCACCUGGUCGUGCUGCUGCUCCAGUUUCAACUGUUCUGCCUGCGACUAUGGAACCCUGACCUGUUUACCGGACGUGCUAUCUGUCCCAGACCUGCUGUUUUCAACUCUCUAGAGACAGCAUGAGCGGUAGAGAUACUCUGAAUGAUCGGCUAUGAAAAGCCAACUGACAUUUAUUCUUGAGGUGCUGACCUGUUGCACCCUCUUCAACCACUGUGAUUAUUAUUAUUUGACCCUGCUGGUCA
RNAcentral lists this long non-coding RNA (683 nucleotides) under Salmo salar (Atlantic salmon). RNAcentral's name for it is "lncRNA (ENSSSAG00000084995.1)". The record is from RNAcentral. Lineage: Eukaryota; Metazoa; Chordata; Actinopteri; Salmoniformes; Salmonidae.